This 498-nucleotide ribosomal RNA is filed under the name uncultured bacterium. Its description in RNAcentral is "partial 16S ribosomal RNA". It matches the Rfam family "Bacterial small subunit ribosomal RNA", at positions 28 to 507 of the family's 1533-position model. The record is from RNAcentral.
GACGAACGCUGGCGGCGUGCCUAAUACAUGCAAGUCGAACGAGAGCAACCGGUGCUUGCACUGGUCAAUCUAGUGGCGAACGGGUGAGUAACACGUGGGUAACCUGCCCAUCAGAGGGGGAUAACAUCCGGAAACGGAUGCUAAAACCGCAUAGGUCUUCGAACCGCAUGGUUUGAAGAGGAAAAGAGGCGCAAGCUUCUGCUGAUGGAUGGACCCGCGGUGCAUUAGCUAGUUGGUGAGGUAACGGCUCACCAAGGCCGUGAUGCAUAGCCGACCUGAGAGGGUGAUCGGCCACAUUGGGACUGAGACACGGCCCAAACUCCUACGGGAGGCAGCAGUAGGGACUCUUCCGCAAUGGACGCAAGUCUGACGGAGCAACGCCGCGUGAGUGAAGAAGGUUUUCGGAUCGUAAAACUCUGUUGUUAGAGAAGAACAAGUGCUAGAGUAACUGUUAGCGCCUUGACGGUAUCUAACCAGAAAGCCACGGCUAACUACGUG